This 497-nucleotide ribosomal RNA is filed under the name uncultured bacterium. RNAcentral's name for it is "partial 16S ribosomal RNA". It matches the Rfam family "Bacterial small subunit ribosomal RNA", at positions 28 to 507 of the family's 1533-position model. The record is from RNAcentral.
GAUGAACGCUGGCGGCGCGCCUAAUACAUGCAAAUCGAGCGAACAGACGAGGAGCUUGCUCCUCUGACGUUAGCGGCGGACGGGUGAGUAACACGUGGAUAACCUACCUAUAAGACUGGGAUAACUUCGGGAAACCGGAGCUAAUACCGGAUAAUAUAUUGAACCGCAUGGUUCAAUAGUGAAAGACGGUUUUGCUGUCACUUAUAGAUGGAUCCGCGCCGCAUUAGCUAGUUGGUAAGGUAACGGCUUACCAAGGCAACGAUGCGUAGCCGACCUGAGAGGGUGAUCGGCCACACUGGAACUGAGACACGGUCCAGACUCCUACGGGAGGCAGCAGUAGGGAAUCUUCCGCAAUGGGCGAAAGCCUGACGGAGCAACGCCGCGUGAGUGAUGAAGGUCUUCGGAUCGUAAAACUCUGUUAUUAGGGAAGAACAAAUGUGUAAGUAACUAUGCACGUCUUGACGGUACCUAAUCAGAAAGCCACGGCUAACUACGUG